ACGCUAGCGGCAGGCCUAAUACAUGCAAGUCGAACGAUAGUGAGAAGCUUGCUUCUCACGAAAGUGGCGCACGGGUGCGUAACGCGUAUGCAACCUACCUUAAUCAGGGGGAUAGCCCGAAGAAAUUCGGAUUAACACCGCAUAAAAUCACAGUAUAGCAUUAUACAAUGAUCAAAUAUUUAUAGGAUUAAGAUGGGCAUGCGUGACAUUAGUUAGUUGGCGGGGUAACGGCCCACCAAGACCACGAUGUCUAGGGGAUCUGAGAGGAUGACCCCCCACACUGGUACUGAGACACGGACCAGACUCCUACGGGAGGCAGCAGUAAGGAAUAUUGGUCAAUGGAGGCAACUCUGAACCAGCCAUGCCGCGUGCAGGAAGACAGCCCUCUGGGUCGUAAACUGCUUUUAUUCGGGAAUAAACCUAUCUACGUGUAGAUAGCUGAAUGUACCGAAGGAAUAAGGAUCGGCUAACUCCGUGCCAGCAGCCGCGGUAAUACGGAGGAUCCAAGCGUUAUCCGGAUUUAUUGGGUUUAAAGGGUGCGUAGGCGGCUUAUUAAGUCAGGGGUGAAAGACGGUGGCUCAACCAUCGCAGUGCCUUUGAUACUGAUGAGCUUGAAUAUACUAGAGGUAGGCGGAAUGUGACAAGUAGCGGUGAAAUGCAUAGAUAUGUCACAGAACACCG
This 681-nucleotide ribosomal RNA is filed under the name Pedobacter quisquiliarum. RNAcentral describes it as "bacterial SSU rRNA". It matches the Rfam family "Bacterial small subunit ribosomal RNA", at positions 33 to 711 of the family's 1533-position model. Lineage: Bacteria; Pseudomonadati; Bacteroidota; Sphingobacteriia; Sphingobacteriales; Sphingobacteriaceae. The record is from RNAcentral.